GCGGCGCCGCAGCCCGCAACAUGCUCACAGAGCCGGCCGUGCCUCCUGCAACACGCUGCAGGCCAAUCCGCUCACUCAAUCCGUGUUGGGUUACAAUGACAAGGGCCCUGUCUGAACCACGACUUUUAGAAAGAUAAUAUUACAGGCCCGCUGCUGAUCCAUCUCCCAGUACACAAUUGAGACAGAGGAGGUUAAAGCACUCUGAACGCAUGGGACUAUAUUGCAGGUGUUUGUGCCUGUGGCAAGGUCUUGGUCUUUUGUUCCCUCCCACUCCCUUUAGUCCACCACAACACGACCGGCAUGAACACGAGCCUCAGACAGCGCCUCCCAGCACUCCUCCGUGUUCUCCUCCAUCUGCCUCCUGUCCAUUGAUCAGCCUUCCAGGGCAUCAGUCUGUUUAACAUCUGCUACAAGUUCCAGCAGCUCAGAUGCGUCGAGGCUGUAAUGAAGAGCUCUUGAACUCGCAGUCAGAGAAGCUGUGACAGGAGUUCAGGAGGACGCCUCUUUGGCUCUGCUGGACGUACGACACAUACACACACCCAGUCACACAUGCACCUAGAGACAGCAACAAACAGCUAAUACAGAAAUCAAAAUGAAUCUGUCACUCAGACGUUGUUUCACAAAUCACUAGCUUUUCAUUUAAGGUGUCCAGUGUCCAAUCUUCCUUCUGAUAUUGGAAAAAUAUCAAAAAUCUACCUCUGCGCUUCUGUUUUUUUAUUUUCUGUUUUCCUGUUAUUUAUUUUUUGGCACUGCUUUGACAUGAGGUUAGAGACGCAAUAUGAGAAACAUCUUCAUGGAGGCAUAACUUGAGUUUAUGAACUAUAAAAGCCGCCGUAUUUCUAGCUUUCAGAGCUUUAUUAUCAUGCCUUUGGUGCCGCUGCACAUCUUUAGGCAGGUACAUUUUAUUUUGAGAUUUUUGCCUUCAGGCCCUGAAUUGAAAUGGAAGACCAAAUGGCACAAAUGGCAAGUGCAUCAUUCCUAGCUCUCUGCAGCCUCCCAACACAAACUGGUCAAGCAGAAAUGAGACCUGCAUCAAUUUUAAUUUGUAUUUAUCCCGCUGAUGACCCGCUCCUUUCACUCCGCCGUUGGAGGCGCAAAUUACACCCAUCAUAACUCUGAUUCUAACGGCCCACGGUGUGCUAUCAGAAAAUGAGCAUGGUUAUAUACCACCGGCGGGUUCAAGGUGUCACAACACAAUUAUACAAUCAUGCAACCUGACGAGCUCUGACUGGUCGCCGUUGUAUGACAACUAAGCUGGAGGGCCACGCUGUCUGUCACAUGCAGGCGGGUAAGAUAAGUUCACAGACGAGUAGACUGUGCCUCAGUGUCUGCUGCUCUCUAUCUAAAUCAGUUAAAUAUCACACAGAUGCUACAGUCUGGGGAGAUUUUUUUGGGGGGAAGUAUAAAGACCUCCAUCUGAAGUUAUCUUUGACUUGUCAGGUUUUUAUUUGGCACAGAAAAUUGAGCCUGGAGGGGGGAGUAAAAGAAAAACAUAAAUCAACGUGAUAUAACAUUGGCUCCCUGUGUAUCAUUAAUAUAAUUAUGUCAACAAUGAGGAAAGUUUAAAACCUACUACACACUGCAGUGCUGGCAGCAGCUCACGGUGACUUUGCAUCAACCCUAAUCCUUGUAUCUCAUAAAACUUAGACCAAAAAAUGAAGGGAAGCUACCAAGCCUGGAUCCCCGGUGUGAUCUCAGUGUCAAGCCAUUAGGCUGUGUGAAAUGAGGUGCCACUCAUGAGUUAUAAUGCUGCACAUCUAUAGAUGCAAUGGUAAAAUAUAGCCCUUCAAUGCUCAGUCCUCUGUUGGAGUUGGGGAAAUAAUUCUGCUCUGAUAGCAGUCCGUCCUGCAA
Eleginops maclovinus (Patagonian blennie) is the source of this 1851-nucleotide long non-coding RNA. RefSeq lists it as uncharacterized. Lineage: Eukaryota; Metazoa; Chordata; Actinopteri; Perciformes; Eleginopidae. The record is from RefSeq and is a predicted model, not a curated record. The transcript has 5 exons.